Molecule: long non-coding RNA, 7152 nt
Organism: Chelonia mydas (Green sea turtle)
Lineage: Eukaryota; Metazoa; Chordata; Testudines; Cheloniidae
Exons: 3
Source: RefSeq, a predicted model, not a curated record
GUCAGUGCACGAGCAGCCCAGCUCGGCCGCCGCCGCCGCCGACCAAUCCCCGCGGCCCGAGCCCGCGGCCAGCGAUGAUACACGCCCAGCCCCGCGCCCGUCACCGCGGGCCGCUGCUGUAGGCAUGGGCGAGCUGCCGCCCGCAGGGGCAGAGGCUGCUGCACAGGGGCAAGCGGGGCCGGGAGCCGCGGCCCUGUGCCCAGCUGGGCGGCUGAGGCCGGGGGACGAUGGAGGAAAGUUGGGGAGCAGAGGGAACGGAGAGAUCUCACCGAAAAGGUAGCCAGUGCAAACCAGUCGCUAGGACUCAAAGCUUGUCACUGAUUUUUCCUACGGAUCACAACUCCUUUCACAGCCACUUCUUUGUGAGCCUGGGAAUCUAGGUGCCCCUUGACUCUUGAGAAGCCCCAUGCCAAGUUACACAGGCAUCAAGGUAGCAGUGUAUCUGGAGGUGGACUUGGAAGAUGGAAAAGAAUCCUUAUGGAUCAUUCAGGGAGGAGGUUCCCUGCAGACAGACAUUGUGGAAGAAAGCACAAAGAUAAGAGCAAUAAGGAGUCAAGGCUGGCAGCAUUGGUCAGGAGGAAAGGAUAAAAUGAUAAAGAGACAAGAGGAGCAGAGUUAUGAAGAGCCAGCUUGUUAACGACCGUUCCCCCAACCCCAAAAAAAGUCUUCAAGCAGUCUCUGUGCAUCAUCUGCAUGCUGAUCAUAAAUCCUUUGCAGUUGGGAGGCAUGGUCACCAUCUCAGAAAAGAUGCUGUAAAAUUAGAGGUGGUUCAUUCAGAGAAAGGCAAUAAGAAUCAUUAAGGGCCUGGAAAAGCUCUCAUAUGAAGAGAGAAUGAAAAGAUUAGGAUUGUUUAUCUUAAAAAAGAAGAUGAAUAAGAGGGGACAUGAUCAAAAGUGUGUGUGUAUAUAUAUAUAUUUUAAAAAAGAAAACAGAAGCUUCUACCGUCUCUAUACCAGUUUAUAUAAUAUUACAAGGUAGAAGCUUCUGUUCUGUUCUAUUCCGUUCUCUUUUUUUAGAAAUACAAGAACAAGGAGACAGUCAAUGAAAUUAAAAGAUGGCAAAUGGAAAACUGAUAAAGUAAUACUUUUUCACACAAGACAUAACUGGACUGUGGAACUUAGUGCCAUGGAAUGUUGUUGAGGCCGAGAAUUUAGCAAAUUCAGAAUGGCAGUGGAUGUUUAUACAGAUAACAAUAGCGAGGAUUAUCAUAAUUGAUUGUGACAGAUUUUUGAAGGAAUAUUAAAUCUGAUGAUUCAGGGCUUUAAUUAAUCUCUAUUAGAGAUCAGGACCUAAUGGGGGGACAAAUUAUCCCACAUCUGUCUACUGCAGGGUUUUUACACCUUCCUCCGAAGCUCCUGGUGGGGAACACUGUUGGAGACCGAACACUCUCAGGUCCAAUCCUGUAUGGCAGUUCCUAUGAGUAACAAACCACACUUUCAUCACCACUAGAAAAAUCUUAAUUUAAUUGAAAAGAAUAGGCUGAAGAAAUAUCUGUGGGCUUGUGUGGUAGUAAAUGGUUUGGGUUGGCUUUUUUAACUGUGCCCAUUGCAGAACAUAGCAAAAAACACCACGGAUCAAGAAGUUCUUGAGUUCUUCAGAGAAUGUUCUCAGGAUUUGUGAUAUCAAUAGAACAUGUACUGUCAAAAAGCCCCAAGUACAAAUGUCUGCUAGAUGAAUUCAUACACAAACAUCAAAAAGGUCCCGCUGAAUAUUUGAGCUGUUUGAAUUGGUGAAAGCGUUUACCAUAGUGUAAUAGCCUGAGAGAGCGUUUGUGUUUAAAAAUAAAAAGUGUAAAAGGUAAUCAGAUUUUCAAGGUGAAAAACAGGGACAUUUGCCUUGGGAGAGGGGGAGUUGUAGGGUAUGGUUGCAGUGUGGGGUCAGAAAGAAGUAAAGAGAAGGGAAGGAAAAUAAUUCUCAUUCCUUUCUCUUGCAUUUUCUGUGCUUUAGGGUUUUUUUUCCUUUUACCUUUUUUUUCCUCUGCUCCCCUCUCCUCCUCUUUCUUCCCUAGCUGUCACCCACUUAGCUUCUCCUCCCACUCUUUGUGCCACACUUUGCUGUCUUUGGUUUCCAACCUUUCUGUUCUUUCCCACCACAAUCCUACCACAAUCUGGUACUCACCUCUGAGACAGGUGAGGUGAGCAGAAGUGUGGAUCCCAGUCUUCAGUCUGGCUCAAUAGUUGUCUGCAUAGGAGGCAGCGCAGCUGAGCUACCUGUGCACUCAGAGUUGUGUCUGCACUCAGACUUCACAAGGCUCUGACUGAGGGUGAAAAGGGCAGUCCUCACUCAGAAGCUCAUGGAGGGUCAAGGUGGUACCUUUAUUGUACAAGAGACCUCAGGAUGGCCCUGGAAGUGCAUAAGCGCUCAUUUAACCUGCUGCCAAUUUUUAGCAGCUCAGCCUGGACUUGGAUCUUUGAAGUGGUCAGUUUCCUGACAGUUACUAUACAAAACAGGACAAAGCACUUGUACAUAACUUGUAUGUAAUAAGGCAGGAAUAUCUGUAAGCCAACAUGAUAGCUGGCUGCUAAAGCUAACUGUAAAGAGAACUGCAUCCAUCAAAAGCUAUUUAGUUUUCAUGCUUAAUUAGUUUUAGUCACCAAGCUGAUAGGCAAGACUUACUUCCAUUAGAUGAAGAAGAGAAUUUUUAAAAGAUUAAGUGAUGUAUAUACACAACACUGUAUUAUCAUAAUGCUGUUGGAAGCCAAUGUUGUAGUUAAGAUUGCAAACUCAUGUGCAUUGCAAAACUCGUUCACUGAGAACUGUCUCUUUACAUAUAGAUUUGUUACUUGAGCAAUUAUUCCGAGUUUGUCCUCCAUGUGAGGUAGCUGUCCUGCAAAUACAUUUAGUGAUUGAGAUGAUGAAUAAUACAACACAGCUUUACCUAACAGUUGAAAACAUCUGAAUUCGAUGCAAAAACCCUUCUGGCAAUCAAAGUAAGGAGCAUCCAACACUGAAGCAUGAAACCUCAGUCUGCUGUCUUAAUCCUUGAAACAGAUAUGAAAUAUCCGUACCAAUUUGGAAAUCAGUGUGCAGGAUAUAAGUGGGGUUUUUUUUGGAGAUUUAUUAUUCCAUUCAAACUCUUGUUUAUUCUUCCCUCUUACUAGAGCCACCUGCUUCUUUCUUGUUUCUAGGCUGACAGAAUGGCAUUGUUUAGAGACAGUCUGCUAAGAACAUAGAGAUCCUCAAAUCAGCAUAUCUUUGAGCAUUUUCAGUACCUAUUAACUGUCCUAAGAAAUAGGGGGCAGUUCCUGCAUUGAAUUAAAAUUUCAGUCUGAUUUGUCCCAAAGAUAGCCUCCAGUUUCUUAAUUUGAUUGAUGAUCAUGAAAAACAAAAGCAAAGAGAUUUCCUUACUUUAGGACCCAAUCCUACUUCCAUUAAGUUCUGUGGCACAUUACCUAAUUGAUUCAAAGGCAGCAAGACCCUAAUCUAGUCUUUCCUUUUAUGCUCUUUUUAAAAAGGACAGGAACUGAUAGUUUGUCUUUGUUGGCUUCAUCGGAACAUACCAUGAAAAACAUUUUUACGCAUUAUUAAAAUCAUAGUGUAGCAGAAAUAAAACAGACUCAGCAUGAGCAUUUAAACAUUUUUGUGUAUAUGCAACUCUUUUCUUUAAUAAAGCUGAGUGAAGAUAGAAUUAGAGCCCAGUGGUAUUAGAACAGCUUUGUGUGCUUUCCCGUUUAAAAUCCUAAAUGCAGAGAAAUAGGGUCGAUUUGCACUGGUAUAAAUGCAAUUAAAGUUGUGUAAGAUUUUCCAUUGUGAAAUCCCUGAUAACCAAGUUUUCAGAUGAAGUAGAGCUAUGCCAAAUAUUCACAGACACACCCUAAACUAAGUAAAACUCACCUGAUUUCAGGGUUACAAACUCAGAGCAAUUUCCUCACAAGGCUCACAAACUUUUUGAAGUAAGCUGGAACUGGUUUUGAAUGCACUUGAGACCGUUUCUUUUUUAUAAUGAACUCAUGCAAAGUAUAUGUAAUUUCAUAUGACAAGGUGAAAUUUAGUGGAUCAACGACAAAGAAGAUUUUCAGAUAGAUCCUGCAAAAAAUCAAAGCACUGACUGGUAAUUUCACCAAAAAACUUCAGUCUGGACCAAAGACUGGAUGGAAAGACUUCCACUGACUGCGGUGGGCUUUGGAUGAGUCCUCAAAACAUUUAGGCCAAAUUCCCUCUUUCUGCUCAAAGACAGGUGGAAGGAGAAAUUCCAAGUUUAUAUCUUUCUGCCUCUUUUGCUAGUAAUAUGAAAAUCCAGCAUUUGUGACAUCUCAUUUUUCUAUUAUGAUACAAGAAGUGUGUAGUGAAUGUGAAUAACUUGGAGAUGAAACUCUGGGAAGGGACAUAAAUCUGUAAAAGAUUUAUUGCACUUUUUACUUGGCUGAGCUUUUCUGGACAGAUGCAGAGGGUCACUUUUCUUUGCCUUUAUUUCAUCUAUCAUCAUUCCAAUGAGUACAUUUCUGUUUCUUUAUUGUGAUGCUGGAAAGCUCAGAUAUCCAUCAGUAAUAUGCUGGAAUAGUAUCUUUAUUCUGUAGCGUUAGAACAUGAUUUUCUAGCCAGUUGGAAAGAGUCAUUUUCAUUGUAACUCCUUCAGUUCUAAUUGCUUAGCUUCACUGAGAUCCUGUCUAUCUAAUACCAGUGUUUUGGAAUAUAAAAUCAAGUCGAUGUGAUUUGAAUGAACCUGAACGCUUAUAUAAACUAUAUAAAUAAGUAUUGUCAAAAUUAAUUUUUUGAGGGAUUCAGCUAAUGCCACCAGCACUAUACACCCAAUCUUGUACUCCACUGAGUCAUAGUAGCUCAUAGAUUUACCACUAUUGGUCAGUGUUUUUUAAUUGUCACUUGAUGCUUGUUAUUUAAUUUUAGUUCAGUAUAAUGGUGAACUAUGUACCAAACUUAACUCUUGCCACAAGAUAUUUUGAUGGACAUAAUCACACGUUAAUCUGAUUUGCCAUAGGAAAUAAUGUCCGACAAUAGUAAGCCCAUCACAACCUCUUACAAAGAAUAAGACUGAUCUGCACAGCCCAUAACAAAGCUAUUGAGGUCCCAAAUAGUGAACUAGCAGGAUCAUCGGAUAGAUUUGCCUUCAACCUUCGUUUAAUUAAUCGUUUGAUUAAUGGUUCACAUAGAUGAAUUCUCCAUGAAUACAGUACUUUAAAACAAAAUUGAACCAAUCAUAUACUGUUCUUCCUAAAGUUUUGCAUAGCUUCCAUUUUAAAAAGGUUUCUUCUGGCCAUUGAACCUUCUAAAUUAACCAAGUUUUACAUUAUUGUAUGCAAGGCUGUGGUAGCCAUGUUGGUCCCAGGAUAUUAGAGGGACAAGGUGGGUUUUUACAUUGACAGUUUUGACUUCUUGCACCCCUCAACUUGUCCUGGUGCUUACUUACUGAAUUUUCUUCAAGUGACUGUUGUGUGCCCAACAUCUGUGUGUUUGCUUGCAAUUGGCCAUCCUGCUUGAGACACAGUUAUACAUUUGUUUUAAAAAUCAAAUACAGGUAUUCAAAACAAAAUUGUACCUUCCAAAAAUAAAUUUAAAAAAAUAGACAAGCUCUUGAAACCAGAAGAUAAUUCUGUACAGUUUUAUUUCUUCCAAAGAGGUUUCAAAUCCACAGAUUUUUCUGCUUUUAAAAGCUGUUAGGUUCACAUAAAAAUGAACCUCAAAAUAGAAGUGCUCCCUGCAGAACUAAUAGGUGGAACUGAAAAUGUGUUGCUAUAAAUGUUAGCUUGGAACAUCAAUAUAAUGACCUAAUUUUAUGCCCUUUAUAUUUCUUCUCCCAGUGAACAUGAUUAGCGAAAGAGGUCUGCUUCCUUAGAAACAAAUAAACUGAAGAUGUUGCAAGUAGUACUUAUCCUGGAACCCUUCAACAUAUAGUUGCAAUUCUGUUAAAAAUGAGAUUGAGUUCCAUGUAUAAGAAAAUAAAUUACAUCAGUUCAGCUGUGCUCACACUGGAGACACAAGUAACUAGAAAAUCAGGGGAGUGGAUUUAGAAUGAGUUGAGCUUUUAAUAACCAGGGAUAUAUAGUACAUUAACGCUCAAUCUUCAGUGUCUUUAGAUGACAGUUAAGAUUGAGAAAUAGCUCGUCAUUUUUGCUAUUCCUUUUGUUUGCUAUUUUGAUUGGAAAUGUCUGAAUUAAGAAACUGCAUAGUGAAAGAGCGCUUAAAUUAUUGCUUUGAUACUCUCCUCACAAUACAGAGCCUUCUACACGGCCCUCAUCACCGUGCUAUCUGAGUGCCUUACAACCACGAAUGUAUUUUAUCCUCACAUCACCUCUGUGAUGUAGGAAAGUACCAUCUCCAUUUUACAGAUGAGGAAGUGAGACACAGCGUAGAUGAAGUGAUUUGUCCAUAGUCACACAGGAAGUCUGUGGUUAAACUGGGAAUUAAACCCUGGUCUCCUGAGUCCCAGUCCAGUGCCCUAUCCACUAAACUCAUAGACCAUCCUUUCUGCCAUCUUGACUAACCUUUUGCUUAAACCCCAAGGAAAAUGUACAUCAUUCUACUGCUAAUCUCACUAGUGGGUUGGUUAAUCACUUAUGCACACUAUUAAAUGGAAUACCAAAUCUGCUCAUUUACAAUAUGUAAUAUGUACACCUGUAAAUUAUGCUUUAAAAAUUAUUGAACUAAUACAUAUCUGCCUAUUGUGGGUGCAAAAGCAUGGGGAGUUCAGCAUGGCAAACACUGCCUUAGCCUUUUACCUUUGCCAGUAAAAGAGGUCAAACAGAGCAUAUUGCUUAGUCUGUAUUUCUCCAAGUUGUAGCCUAAUGUAAUUGAGUAUUUCAAAUAUAGAGACAGAAUAAAUUAAACUUUAACAGCUAGCUGAUUAUGUGUUGUUGCAAAAGUUAUUAGUUCUAUUGGUUUCGUUUUACUGGUAAAAAUUACAUAGUUCUGUAGAGUCACUGUCUCAAUAUGACUAAGGUUUUGGCUUUGUAGACAAGGCAAGAGAGUUAACACAAAUGCUGUCAGUGCCAGGCACUAGAGUUUUCGGUCCAGUCUGUUAAAAGUCCUUUUUUAAAAAAAAAAAAAUUGUUAUAAGAUGGCUUGACCCAUGGUUUACCAGGUUAUAACUAGAGCCGGUCGGGAAUUUUUCGACAAAAUGUUAUUAAUUAGAAAAUGCUGAUCUGUCCAAACAGAAACAUUUUGCAGGAAUGUAUGAAGUUUUGACUAAGCUUUCAU